RNAcentral lists this ribosomal RNA (484 nucleotides) under uncultured bacterium. RNAcentral's name for it is "partial 16S ribosomal RNA". It matches the Rfam family "Bacterial small subunit ribosomal RNA", at positions 29 to 507 of the family's 1533-position model. The record is from RNAcentral.
AUUGAACGCUGGCGGCAUGCCUUACACAUGCAAGUCGAACGGCAGCACGGGAGCAAUCCUGGUGGCGAGUGGCGAACGGGUGAGUAAUACAUCGGAACGUGCCCAGUAGUGGGGGAUAACCCGGCGAAAGCCGGACUAAUACCGCAUACGACCUACGGGUGAAAGCGGGGGAUCGCAAGACCUCGCGCUAUCGGAGCGGCCGAUGUCAGAUUAGCUAGUUGGUGAGGUAAAGGCCUACCAAGGCGACGAUCUGUAGCUGGUCUGAGAGGACGACCAGCCACACUGGGACUGAGACACGGCCCAGACUCCUACGGGAGGCAGCAGUGGGGAAUUUUGGACAAUGGGCGCAAGCCUGAUCCAGCCAUGCCGCGUGCGGGAAGAAGGCCUUCGGGUUGUAAACCGCUUUUGUCAGGGAAGAAACGCUCCGGGCUAAUACCACGGAGUAAUGACGGUACCUGAAGAAUAAGCACCGGCUAACUACGUG